Molecule: non-coding RNA, 99 nt
Filed under: unclassified sequences
Description: SAM-I-IV sequence
Rfam family: SAM-I/IV (S-adenosyl methionine) riboswitch aptamer
About the family: It is found upstream of a number of genes which code for proteins involved in methionine or cysteine biosynthesis.
Source: Rfam by way of RNAcentral
GAACAACAUCUAUAGAGAAGCUUAUGCUUCACCAACCUGCCAAGAUCUGGCAAAGGUGGUUCAACGAUGUGGCUUUAAUUAGCAACAAUAAGAUCGUAG